CGAACGCUGGCGGCGUGCUUAACACAUGCAAGUCGCACGGAAAGGCCCUGCUUGCAGGGUACUCGAGUGGCGAACGGGUGAGUAACACGUGGGUGAUCUGCCCUGCACUUCGGGAUAAGCUUGGGAAACUGGGUCUAAUACCGGAUAGGAACCAUCUUUAGUGUGGUGGUUGGAAAGUUUUUUCGGUGUAGGAUGAGCUCGCGGCCUAUCAGCUUGUUGGUGGGGUAAUGGCCUACCAAGGCGGCGACGGGUAGCCGGCCUGAGAGGGUGUACGGCCACAUUGGGACUGAGAUACGGCCCAGACUCCUACGGGAGGCAGCAGUGGGGAAUAUUGCACAAUGGGCGCAAGCCUGAUGCAGCGACGCCGCGUGGGGGAUGAAGGCCUUCGGGUUGUAAACUCCUUUCGCUAGGGACGAAGCGUUGUUGUGACGGUACCUAGAUAAGAAGCACCGGCUAACUACGUG
Molecule: ribosomal RNA, 464 nt
Filed under: uncultured bacterium
Lineage: Bacteria
Description: partial 16S ribosomal RNA
Rfam family: Bacterial small subunit ribosomal RNA
Source: RNAcentral